RNAcentral lists this ribosomal RNA (497 nucleotides) under uncultured bacterium. RNAcentral's name for it is "partial 16S ribosomal RNA". It matches the Rfam family "Bacterial small subunit ribosomal RNA", at positions 28 to 507 of the family's 1533-position model. The record is from RNAcentral.
GAUGAACGCUGGCGGCGUGCCUAAUACAUGCAAGUCGAGCGAACAGACGAGGAGCUUGCUCCUCUGACGUUAGCGGCGGACGGGUGAGUAACACGUGGAUAACCUACCUAUAAGACUGGGAUAACUUCGGGAAACCGGAGCUAAUACCGGAUAAUAUAUUGAACCGCAUGGUUCAAUAGUGAAAGACGGUUUUGCUGUCCCUUAUAGAUGGAUCCGCGCCGCAUUAGCUAGUUGGUAAGGUAACGGCCUACCAAGGCGACGAUGCGUAGCCGACCUGGGAGGGUGAUCGGCCACACUGGAACUGAGACACGGUCCAGACUCCUACGGGAGGCAGCAGUAGGGAAUCUUCCGCAAUGGGCGAAAGCCUGACGGAGCAACGCCGCGUGAGUGAUGAAGGUCUUCGGAUCGUAAAACUCUGUUAUUAGGGAAGAACAAAUGUGUAAGUAACUAUGCACGUCUUGACGGUACCUAAUCAGAAAGCCACGGCUAACUACGUG